RNAcentral lists this long non-coding RNA (2926 nucleotides) under Phaseolus vulgaris (common bean). RNAcentral's name for it is "long non-coding RNA (PVUL_LNC004038)". The record is from RNAcentral. Lineage: Eukaryota; Viridiplantae; Streptophyta; Magnoliopsida; Fabales; Fabaceae.
UUCAGAUGGUUAUUACAGAGUUUCAUUUCACAUUUGGAGAGUAGAAACGGAGUUGGCAGGUAUGCUAUGAAUAUCACUGCUUAAUUUACACUAUCUAAUUUUAAUUGUUACAAUGAGAAGUAGUAGCAGUAGUAUCUAGUGAUGUGCCAAUUGAUUAAGGUUGUCUUUCUUGGAAAUCUACAAACUCUUUCAUUACAGAAAUCUAGUUCCAGAUCUGACAAGGUAGAAAAGGCACAAAAAUAAUUUAAAUAUCAUGGACAGUACCGUAUGCUCUCUUUUUUUUUUCAUGUAGUACAUGCAUCUUUUUACAUAUCAUAAGAUGCCUGAUACAAAGUGAACACACCCUUGUUAAUGAAAAGCUGAAGCUGUCAGUUACCAAUUCUAUGCACACUGCAAUUUUCUUUUUAGUGAAGUUGAAAAACUGAAUUCGUAGAAAACAUUACCUUCUCAUAUGAUCACCAAACUUUCUCAUAAUCAUUGCGAUACGUUGCCACGCAAGAUAAAUUCUAAAUAUUGUCUCCAGCAGUUGUUAGUUACUUAAAAUAGUUAAUAAGAGUUUGUAUUUGUUAAGCAGAAGAAAUUUAAAAGAGAAGACUAAGAAGAUAGAAAAAGAGGUUGAGUAUGAUUUCUUUCCUCAAUUGAAUUCAAUCUCCAAACCUUAUUCUGUGUGUUUAGUUUUUUACCUCUUGAAUUAAAUAAUCAAGAGAUUGUUCAAAACAAUACAAACUCAAAAACAAUUCCAAUCACACUGGUUAGAACUCAAAAAGACCACACUGUUUAGCCAAUCUGUCAUAGAUAUGAAAGAAAUUAAUUACAUAAAAUCUCAUAAUUUAUUAUGAAAUCUCAAGAGAAUCAAUUUUCUAUUUAUGAACCAUGAACCAGCAUAACAAUUUCCUUAUUAUUGACCACUUUGUCCACAUUUAUUAAUUAUCCUUGUAAAUGAAGCAGUAGGUUUUUGGAUACCAUGGAUCUGUGCACAAAUCCUAUUCUUUCAGAAUCAGAAGCAUGGAAUUGGUAUUGAAGAAGAGUAAUUCAACACGAUGAUGCUUAUACUGGCUUGAAUCUUCUUGUUUGGUGAGUAUAAACCCUUUACUCUGUAAACAUGCUUAUAGUCCAUACUCAUAUUACCUAAUGUAAAAUGACCAGAAAUCUCAUCAGAAGCAUCAGAGCGAAAAAAGCUUGAUGGGUCGCUUACCAAUAUAGAAUGACACACAAAAUAGCACUGCUUUUGAGGCGUCAGAUAGCGAGAGAGGACAGGAAAAUAUUAUCAAGAAAUAAGCCUGCGAACUUCCAAACUACGUAGUCCACAGUGUCUGUUUGGACAAUCGUUGAAAAGUAGUAUGAAAUUACCUUUACACUAAGUGUAGAUACUAUAUUAGCUUUUCAGUUAAAAGUUACAUCUAAAAUGAGAAACCAAAUUAACAUGCUUGGAACUGCAUCUAUUAUUCCAUAAAUCGUACGGACCCAUAGGUUAGAAUCUAGCACAUCAAAAUUAAAGCAGUGGAGACACCAAGUUUGAUGCUAAAAACAGUCUCAAGAAUCAACCACUGAAUGAUUCUAUCACAUCACCUAUAAACCUGGUUCAAACCAUUUGAGAGAUUUACAGAUAGUAGCUGCAUUGAAAUAGGAAGAUUCAAGUGACACCUUAAAAAUAUGUGCACCAUAGCAGGUUACUUGUCCGUUAAACCGAUUGGCAGCAGAACCCGUUGGUUUUGGAUAUGAUGAGUGUUGCAGUCAUGGGGCCAACCACAUGGACCAGGGGUCUCUUGGCCUUCAAUUUUAUGCCUACUGGCAAGCAAAUCACUUACUCCAGAUUUGGACUCAACCUAAAAUGCCAUGUUGAAAGGGACCAGUGCAGGUUGCUCACAAAUCACCAACAGACACUACUUCAAUAUUUUGUCUCCAACCAUGUACAAAAAGUCUUGAAAGUAAUAUUAAUGCAUGCAUGUCAAAAGGCACCACUCUUUGAUGUAUCAUUUGUAGCACUGGUCCCAAUAGGAAAAGAUUCCUUCCCUUCUUAUCGAUUACAGUCUUACUCUUGUUGGUGAAUGCGAGUCCCAGGUCUUUUUUUUCUCACAUAUUUUCUUUCAGACACAAUUCUGUUUGGGGAAUAAUUGAAUAAGAAAUAUAAACACUUCUUCCAAUGGAAGACUUGUACUCUCGUUUGUCACGUUAUGGGGACUAACCUUUUUUGCAGGUCCAGGUUUUCUGCAGAGAAGGAGUAGUAUCACCUAAAUAUCACGAUGGCAACUUCUCAAUGUGUCUACAUCCCUCUAGAAUUGCACAUGGCUAAUUUGAAGCAAUUGCGAUCGAUGUCAUUUUCAUACAAUGAAUGAGAUAUAUAGUCACUUAGGAGCCUUCUGAUUCCCGCACUUCAAAGGCCACUUCUGCCACUUGCUUAAGGCAUGUUUAACGUAUUGUCGCAUUUAAAGAUGAACUACAGUAAGUAAAACACCCCUCUAGUAUCAACUUGAAAGAAAAGAAGUUGACAAAACUGUCAACACAUGAAAGCUCCCAGCUCAUAAUGAGAAUGCCAUGUCUUCUUGUCAGUGAGAGUUUCAUGUCAACUUUUCAAGACAUGAGAACGCCUUAUAUUCUUGUAGUGCUUCAUGGUGAAGAUGGAGACAAUAUAAUAUGCAAUUGGUAGUCGUUGCAUUCGGUGAGCAAAAUAUAAAAGUGAUUGUGCAUCUCGAAUAAACAUGGUUUAAUAUGUUAGAAGGUGAAUAUUUGAAAUGUGACAUGACCGCAAAUAAAACUAGCAGAACCAAGCUUGAGAAUGGUAUCACACAUUUUUUUUAGUUUAGCAAUCAUUUAUAUAGGUUGAAAUGCCUUCUCAUUUAAUUUGGAUGGUGGGUCCUUUGCCAUAUAAUGAAGUUCUGUCUCGAGGAAAGUCAACUCAUGAUUCAUUAACCAGUUCAUGUUUUUC